CUUUCAAGAUGGUGAUGGAGGUGAAAAAUAGUUCAUAAAGUGGUGAUAUUAUUAUCACCUUCAUCUCAGUAAUGUAUAAGAGAUUGGAGAUAAAUGACGACUUAAGAUAU
Phoenix dactylifera (date palm) is the source of this 110-nucleotide small nucleolar RNA. RefSeq annotates it as small nucleolar RNA snoR97. NCBI's taxonomy places the organism in Eukaryota, Viridiplantae, Streptophyta, Magnoliopsida, Arecales, Arecaceae. The record is from RefSeq and is a predicted model, not a curated record.